This 24-nucleotide microRNA is filed under the name Tribolium castaneum (red flour beetle). RNAcentral describes it as "tca-miR-279a-5p". Its record names the gene tca-miR-279a-5p. The record is from miRBase by way of RNAcentral. Lineage: Eukaryota; Metazoa; Arthropoda; Insecta; Coleoptera; Tenebrionidae.
GAUGGGUUCGGGUCUAGUGGCACG